ACUGAAGCAACGGAUGGAUCACGUGACCUAGACAGAUCUCAAAAAUGGGAGACCACAUGCAAAGGAAACUACGUUUUCACAACACAUGGUUGGAGAGGUCAAAGAAAAUGUGAUGUAUUACUUUCAGUUUUAUCAUCAGCGGGACCAUCUGGGGCUAGUGGUGGGGCUCGAAGAAGGAAGAAGAAAAUAAAGAAGAGAAUCAGAUCCCCAAAGUAGAGAGACUGAAUUACAGCAAUGACCUCGACUUGCAUUUACUAGACAAGGACAUUGAGGCUCAGUAAGGUGAGAUGACUUGCUCCAGAUCACACAGGGUUGAAGCUGAAAUUUUAAUCUAGAGUCCAGUUCCAGAAUCUGUGCUUAUAAACUGUGCUGUGCUGUAUUUGCUUUAAGAAUAUAAGGGUCAUUUCCUGCUUGAAUAAUCAAGGAAGGCAUGAUGGAAAAGUUAGGGGCAUCAUAAAACCCAAAGACAAUUCUGAUCAUAUUUUUACUUCAACACUUCUACAGGAAAGAAAGCCUUCCCAUCACUAAUAGUGAGUUCUCUGGCAGCAAGCCUCAGUCAUUGCAGCAGGAAUACUGCUUAAAUAUUAUACUGUUUUCGAACUAUAAAUCAAGUAUGAAUGGCUGAUGGAAAGCCGAGGCUAGCAAAUAGAUGAUAAACCAUGUUACCAUGGGAGGUACAGAUUCAUUUUUAAUUUUAGUUUCUAUGUUAUCCCCAAGCAGCUUUUUUGUAUAUUGAUACGGAAAAUAAUGCCAUCUAUAUGCUGCACAACAGAAGUGUUGAUUUGUUUCUGUACCCCUUGGCUUGCAUCCCUGUUGUCAUCACCCAGCUGAUAUCAUUGUGACAUUUUGACAUUGCCUUGUGACACAGUGACCUGGUGCUUCCAGGAGCCUAGAAGGACAAGUUGACUAAGACACAUGGUGCAUUAGGAAGCAAUGAAGCAAUUCAUUACGGCUACAGAGAGAGUCUGCUCUGGAGACAAGAAUUCUUAUCUAAAGCACAAAAUACUCUCGAUUCUAUUUGCUGUUCUGCUACUGAUUUACUAUGAGAUCUGUAACAAAUAAUCUCAAUUCAUUUGUAACUUAGAUUUCCGUCUGUAAAAUGGAAAUGACCCAACAUAUGUGAUUUUUUUAAAAUCCUAGGGCAGUGAUUGCAUUUGCAACCCAUUCUUGCCAAAGAGAAAUUCGGAAGCACACUUCAAGGAACUAAGUUCAGUGAUAAUCACACUUGAUUGAUUUUCAGUACUGUCACAGUUUGAGAACUAUUUAUUGCCCUGAUUUGCUCUUUUCUCUGCCCUGUAUUAAAGAUCUUGCAUGACAGUU
Long non-coding RNA from Homo sapiens (human), 1320 nucleotides. NCBI's taxonomy places the organism in Eukaryota, Metazoa, Chordata, Mammalia, Primates, Hominidae. The record is from Ensembl.